Molecule: long non-coding RNA, 1071 nt
Filed under: Marmota monax (woodchuck)
Lineage: Eukaryota; Metazoa; Chordata; Mammalia; Rodentia; Sciuridae
Source: RNAcentral
GAACCAGCAGCUUUGGACCUUAUUGAUUGUCUGCAGUUACCAGCAGAACAAAAGAACAUACCUAGAUCCUGCCUAGGAGAAAAGAACAAUGCUUUUCUUUAUAAUCAGCAGUGUUUUCACCAUGACCCACCACCCCAAAAUACUAUUGUCAGAAACUGUAGUCUAAAGUGAUUACACAGUUACACUGAAAUAGCUAUUUGUUUUAUAAAGACCAUACGAAAGCAACAGAGUAGAUAUCUAUGUAAGAGGCAGAAUUAAAAUACGAGUGGUUUUAAAUGCUUCUUUUGGUGUAUUUUAAGGUGGUUUGUGUAAAAGAAUAUCUCCUUAGUUAAUGAAGAGAAUUGUUUAUAUUUAUAACUUUUUUCAUUUGCAUAGAAUUAUAUACAUUGGCUACUUAAAUCAAUCUUGUUAUGUCUUCAUACAACUAUGGCUCGGAAUAUGUAAUCUACAGCUCUGAUGCUUGAGGCCUAGAAAUAAAAUGAUUUACAGUCUUUUUUACUGACCCUAUUAGAUUUUACUACCGAUUUAAGGAAAAUGCUGUUUAUAUUUGGUAUUUAUUGCCAGAGUUUUCCUCAGUCUUUCACCCAAACAAAAUACUUUAAAUGUAUCAGAAAUUCCCUUGUUUAAAGAGCCCAAGAAUGAGAGUUGUCCUCAAAAAUUUAGGAAAAUAUGGCACCUUUUGGUUUUCACAUUUUACUUUGUGUGUGGGUGUGUCAAGGACCUGUGUGAGAUAAAGCAGUGAACCCCACCUACGAAGUCAAACUGUCCCGGCUCCUCUGACAACUGAAUGUGAACUGCAUAGUUUCAGUUUACUAAGAAUUUUAGUUUUAUUAGCAGUAAGUAUUCCAACCAUAACUAAUGUGUCACAUUUGGACAUUUAUUGGUCAUUGCCACCUUAAAUGUGUAUUUUUUGAAGACAAAAUCAAUAUACUGAAUCUAUUAAAAAAUGUUACAAUAGUGUUACGUUACAAAUAUCAAGAUUCGAAAUGAAAAUGAGAGACUUUCCAAUUAAGAAGAAAGAAAGUGACUUUCUUCUUUUAACUCCACUACUUUACAUUGGUAGCAUAAAUU